This is a long non-coding RNA of Gadus morhua (Atlantic cod), 3349 nucleotides long. RefSeq lists it as uncharacterized. NCBI's taxonomy places the organism in Eukaryota, Metazoa, Chordata, Actinopteri, Gadiformes, Gadidae. The record is from RefSeq and is a predicted model, not a curated record. The transcript has 2 exons.
UGAUCAGGGUCGGGCAGGCAGAGUAAACAGGGACAGGCAAGAGUUUGGGAACCAGCAGGCAAUCAGGUAGACUGGGGGUACCGUCGCCGGGCGGGUAGUCGGGCAGGCGAGGGGUCGAUAUCCACCAGGUACUGUACCCCACGUCCACGGCGGUGGGAGCGAAGGAGGCGCUGGACAGUGUAAACCGGACCGCCGUUGACAAGCUGACGGGGAGGAGGAGGCGGAACGGGAGGAGCCAGAGUGCUCUCCUGGACGGGGUUGACUCUGGAGACAUGGAAUGUCGGUUGGAUCCUCAGGGACCCAGGGAGCCGACGGCGUACCGCCUCCGGGUUAAUGACACGAGGGAUGGGGAAGGGGCCUACAAACCUGGAGGCCAGCUUACGACUCUCCAACUUAAGGGGGAGAUCGCGGGUGGAGAGCCAGACCUUGUGGCCAGUCUGGUAGACAGGGGCUGGCGUACGGCGCUUGUUGGCGGCGGCAGCGUUGCGGUCCGCGGAUUUGCGCGCCUGGUCCCAGGUGCGUCUGCAGCGGUGAAUGAGGGCUUGUACAGAGGGACAGGAGGACUCCUGCUCUAAGUCGGGAAACAGGGGUGGCAGAUACCCGUAGGUGCAUUGGAAGUGAGAGAGGCCUGUGGAUGAGCAGGUGAGGGUGAUAUGCGCAAACUCUACCCAGACUAGCUGGUCGGACCAGGAAGCCGGAUUGCGGUUCACCAGACAGUGAAGGGUGGUCUCCAGAUCUUGGUUCACCCUCUCGCUCUCUCCAUUGGACUGAGGAUGGAAGCCGGAAGACUGGCUGAUGGAAGCCCCAACUAGGCUGCAAGACUCGCUCCGGAAGACCGACGCUGGGAAAGGACCGCCCCUGCUCCCACACCGGAUGCGUCCACCUCCACUAGGAACUGACGCUCAGGUUCGGGGAUCUGAAGGAUGGGGGCGGUGGUGAAGCGAGUCUGAUGGAAGCCCCAACUAGGCUGCAAGACUCCCUCCGGAAGACCGACGUGAAUUGGGGCCUCUGAUCAGAAACGACAUCAGUGGGCAGUCCAUGGAGGCGGAAGACUCGGGUCCGUUGAAUGCCGGGAUUAACAGGAACCGAUCAGCAAACCACAAAUCAGUGUCCUGGCUGGCCGCAGCACAGGCAGAGGUUCUGCCUCCGUCUCCUCUCCUUUUCUUCCGGUGGGAGAUGGGUGCGACCCACCUGCAUGGGCUCUGGAUCCCCCUCCCUCCAAGAAGCAGAUGAGGUCAUCGGGAAGGAGGCGUGGGUUACUGGGAACCUGGGGAGAGGAGGGCUGCGUGGCGGGGUAGGACGUGACGGAGCCUCUGAACGCCUCUCCCUCCUACGAGCCUGGAUACGGAGGUCGAGGCUGGUGGCGAGCUCGAUCAGGCCCUCCAGUGUAGACGGUGGGUCAUUGGUGAUGAGCUCGUCCUUGAUGUGCCCAGCCAGACCCCGCAAGAAGACAUCACGCAGAGCGGAUGGGCUCCAGUCGCUCAUGGGGGCCCUGGUGCGGAAGUCAAUGGCGUGGUCCGUGACUGAGCGGCUUCCCUGGGAAAGGGCAAACAGAUCCCGUCCGGCUUCGGCCCCCAGAGGUCCGGUACCGAAGACUCUUCUGAGCUCUUCGGCGAAGGUCUGGAAAGAGCGGCAGGUGGGGGUCCCUCUCUGCCACUCAGCUGUGCCCCAAAGACGGUGGUGUAAGAUGGUAUAAGCCACCCGGGCUUCUUCGGAGGGGAAGGUGAGCGGCUGAAGGGCGAAGAUGAUGGAGCAGUGGCACAAGAAGGCGUUACAAGUGGUAGGGUCGCCAUCAUAACGCUCGGGAAUCCCCACAUUGGGCUCACGGGGACGAGAGGUGGAGCGGCAGCGCCUACUUUGUAAUCCUAUUUGUAGAUAAAUAGUAGAUAAACAUUAACACUCAACAGAAACACACAAAACAGCAGAAAUCGACCACACACAGAUACACAGACAACACCAAACACAUUAACACACACACACAACACACAACAUAAGCUGUGGGACCAGCAGGUCCACCCCCCCCCCCCCCAGGUGUGGAGGAGGCGAUGGGAGUCUGAACGCCCUGUGGAGCUACCAGGGGCAGGCCGCUGACGAGCUGGGCUUCAAUGAGGGGUACAUGGUGACCAUCCUGCAGAAGGCCCAGGGGGUGGACUGGUGGUGGGCCUCGCUCUGCGGCCGCGAGGGCUUUGUGCCCAACUACUACUUUGGGCUCUUUCCAAAGGUCCGUCCUAAGUCUCUGUGUUGAUGCGUCUCUCUGGGCUCACGGAUCAGAGGACGUCGUUGUCUCAUCUGGUGUUCUACACCAUGUCCCUCCACCAGGGGGAGCCAGGGAGUUAGGCCUGGCCUUUACGAGUGGCCAGGCGGACAGGUAGACACGUGGACAAGGGGAGGGACUUCAACUGGUUUGCAACUGCUGCAAUUGUGAGGAGCACAAGAAGAGGUGUGCGUAGGGCGUUUCGUUGAUAGCCAGUUGUGGAAAAUAGUUAAGUGUCUAAAACUAAAGUUUAAAUCCAUCUAGUGACGCCUCACAAGUUGUCUGUGCGAACUAAAAUAAACUUUUAAGUGUCUGUUGUGUACUUUUGAUUGCGAGUGGAGAUAUUUAGCCCGCCAGACGGACUGGAUCAGUUAGCUGACCGGACCAGUCUAGCCUGUAAGGGAAGGGAGUUGGUUCAAUCCCAGACAGGGGUGGCCAGAUGAAUCACAGCUUCACACUAAAAGUCCCGAUAACAUAGAAAUUACUUUACUUUGUACUUUGAUGGCAGAACUUGCCUUCACCUUUAUGUAGAGGUGUAGUUUAAAUGUAUCCUUCAGCAUGGGCCACAACCUGGUUGCAUACAAUGACACUCUUUUAACAGCUGUGAAGAGAACUUAUUCACCUGGUGGCCAUACUGGGUAGUUGGGUGGGUAAACCUCUUUUAGAGGCUUCGAAAAUCAUGGCAACUCAAUGCAUCUAUUUCUAGAUCUGCAUUCCAUUUGAAAUUAGUUUGGCAAACCAUUUAGGUAGCAUUAAGAAUAAAUAUCUAUUGUGUCCACAAAGCCCCAAUGAUUAUAGAAGGUUUACCCACCCAACUGACCAACAUGGCCAACGCUUUUCACAGUUUAGUCUGUUUUUUUCUGAUAUUGAAAAUGUACAGCUCUGAUGGAUUUCCUCUCUAUUUUGCUCUAUAUAGCAAUCGUUUAUGUGUAUGAAUCUGAAUCUUGUUGAAUAAAUAUAUAUCAGGAAGAAUGUGUAUUUUGACCUCCGGCAGCCUUUUUUACGGGCACAGAAAUACUCAGUAUCCUCUCCAAGUUCUCCAUUGAGGGUUCAUGUAUUUUAGUACAUUUAAAAAAUAAACGUGUUGAUGAUGAA